This is a long non-coding RNA of Aquila chrysaetos chrysaetos, 790 nucleotides long. RefSeq lists it as uncharacterized. Lineage: Eukaryota; Metazoa; Chordata; Aves; Accipitriformes; Accipitridae. The transcript is spliced from 3 exons. The record is from RefSeq and is a predicted model, not a curated record.
AUAGCCCGGUCGGAGGGCAGCACUGCAGCGCAUCAGGGUGGGAGACUUUUGGGGGGGCGUGGGGGGUUGGUUAACAGCUCCACGAAUCUCGGCGGGGAUUUCUGCCCAGGCACGAGUCACUGCUGAAAAAAAAAGGGAAUGUCUUUUUGUCGAUGGCUGAAAAUGAGGAGAGAAGCCUGGCUGCAAAGUGGAAGCAUGUUUGCCUGAAGCGACUCAGGCUCAGCUCCCCGUAGGUUGCCUACCCACGCUCUCCGGAGCUGCACGAGGGAGAGAAGUUCAUGCUACUGCUGUGAUCAGCAGCGUCGAAUGCUCUCCUGGAGCUGUCUGCUAGUGAGACGCAGCCACCGCACGGUGCAAUAGGAAGAAAAAACAGAUUAUCUGCAGUUCAGUGCCAUUGAACGAGAAGGAUUUCAAAAGGCUCGUCGUGACAAAAACAAAGGUGCAACUGGAGAUGAAACCUAGAACUACAGCUCAGUAAUUUAAGGGCUGAACAGUUCCUGCUCUCAUGGCCUCUCCUUGUAAUACAGAUUCUCCAAUCCCAUGAUCACCUUCGAGGCCCUUCACUGGACUCACUUUAGGAAGUCCGUGUCUUCCCUUUACAGGGGACAUGCACCUCACCAGUGCUGAGUGCUGAGCAGAGGGGAAGGAUGACCUCCCUCGACCUGCUGGCAACUCUCCUCCUAAUGCAGGAUACUGCCGGGGGACACUGCUGGCUCACGUUCCGCUUGUCCACCAGGACCCCCAGGUCCUCUUCAGCCAAGUUGCUUUCCAGCUGCGUGGCCCCCACUCU